CUGAAGAAUCUGCUCUGGGAAGGGGCUGCUGCACCUGGUUAGUGGCCAUCUUUAAUUCUGGCUCUGGUGAUCCCUGCUUGUCCUUUGUGCUUUCUGAUCAUAAAAAGCUCCAUUGCCUGGAAGGAAGCCAUUGACGCGACAAGCAGGCUCUUAUCCAGGGCUUCUUAUCAUCAGCCAGAGGAGCCUGCGCUGGAAAUGAAAUUCUGAGCCACAACAAGGAAAGGCUGCUUCCUUAAUUGAGCCUCUCCCUUUUGAAGUCGGCUCCCCACAGAGCCCGGAGCUGGCAGGUCCUGUGGCCAGCAUAACCCCUGUGUAAUCUCUUGCUCACCAGAAGCAGAUGCUGCACGGAGAAGGAGGCCUUUAUGAAAGGCGUUUAAUAAGGUUUCUCAACCUUGCAUAUGCCGGCCAGGUAGAGGGAGGGCCGGUUUUUCAGAGAAGCGACUGAUCAAAGACAUCAAGAUUCUGGUACUUAGGGCUUCCUUGCCAAUACACCUCAGUCAGGAUUCUGAAGUGGGGGGUCCUAGCACCCUGAACGACUUCCCAUCCAGUCUUGCU
RNAcentral lists this long non-coding RNA (555 nucleotides) under Mus pahari (shrew mouse). RNAcentral's name for it is "lncRNA (MGP_PahariEiJ_G0005920.1)". Lineage: Eukaryota; Metazoa; Chordata; Mammalia; Rodentia; Muridae. The record is from RNAcentral.